This 284-nucleotide ribosomal RNA is filed under the name Segatella copri DSM 18205. RNAcentral describes it as "Prevotella copri DSM 18205 partial 16S ribosomal RNA". It matches the Rfam family "Bacterial small subunit ribosomal RNA", at positions 493 to 776 of the family's 1533-position model. Lineage: Bacteria; Pseudomonadati; Bacteroidota; Bacteroidia; Bacteroidales; Prevotellaceae. The record is from RNAcentral.
UCUUUUCCUUUUUUUCCAGCAGCCGCGGUAAUACGGAAGGUCCGGGCGUUAUCCGGAUUUAUUGGGUUUAAAGGGAGCGUAGGCCGGAGAUUAAGCGUGUUGUGAAAUGUAGAUGCUCAACAUCUGCACUGCAGCGCGAACUGGUUUCCUUGAGUACGCACAAAGUGGGCGGAAUUCGUGGUGUAGCGGUGAAAUGCUUAGAUAUCACGAAGAACUCCGAUUGCGAAGGCAGCUCACUGGAGCGCAACUGACGCUGAAGCUCGAAAGUGCGGGUAUCGAACAGG